GAUGAACGCUGGCGGCGUGCCUAAUACAUGCAAGUCGAACGAGUUCUCGUUGAUGAUCGGUGCUUGCACCGAGAUUCAACAUGGAACGAGUGGCGGACGGGUGAGUAACACGUGGGUAACCUGCCCUUAAGUGGGGGAUAACAUUUGGAAACAGAUGCUAAUACCGCAUAGAUCCAAGAACCGCAUGGUUCUUGGCUGAAAGAUGGCGUAAGCUAUCGCUUUUGGAUGGACCCGCGGCGUAUUAGCUAGUUGGUGAGGUAAUGGCUCACCAAGGCGAUGAUACGUAGCCGAACUGAGAGGUUGAUCGGCCACAUUGGGACUGAGACACGGCCCAAACUCCUACGGGAGGCAGCAGUAGGGAAUCUUCCACAAUGGACGCAAGUCUGAUGGAGCAACGCCGCGUGAGUGAAGAAGGCUUUCGGGUCGUAAAACUCUGUUGUUGGAGAAGAAUGGUCGGCAGAGUAAC
Molecule: ribosomal RNA, 466 nt
Filed under: Lacticaseibacillus paracasei
Lineage: Bacteria; Bacillati; Bacillota; Bacilli; Lactobacillales; Lactobacillaceae
Description: bacterial SSU rRNA
Rfam family: Bacterial small subunit ribosomal RNA
Source: RNAcentral